AUCGAUAAGAAGAUCAUUCGUAUUGUUUGCCAACCGCUAAAAAAGAAGUUGUUGUUUGCCAUGUUGCAUUCUACACAUUUUCAGUCCAAGCCUGAUGCAGGGCAGUCCUCCCGGGUUAAGGAGUCCCUGCUGCAGUUUCACCAGUAAAAAAAUUUACUUGUUACAAUUCACUUGGAGGACCACAUAAGCCAUGCAGUGAUGCAUGGAGAUGGACAGUAAAAAUCAACAGAAUGCCAUCAAAGACUACCUGGGGGGAGAAUCGAAUGAAGCAAAAGAUGUCUUUUUAUUCAUCUUUGAGUAUCUGGAGGAGCUGGACAUAUCAAAUUGUCUUGAUGAACAAGGCCUGAAGGUCCAUGCCAUGUUCUGUGAAUAAUCUAUUAGAGCAAGGAUUCUCUCUGUGUAGUCUAUGUGUGCAUGUAUGUAUGUAUGU
This is a long non-coding RNA of Sinocyclocheilus anshuiensis, 430 nucleotides long. RefSeq lists it as uncharacterized. Lineage: Eukaryota; Metazoa; Chordata; Actinopteri; Cypriniformes; Cyprinidae. The transcript is spliced from 3 exons. The record is from RefSeq and is a predicted model, not a curated record.